Molecule: non-coding RNA, 432 nt
Organism: Paramuricea clavata
Lineage: Eukaryota; Metazoa; Cnidaria; Anthozoa; Malacalcyonacea; Plexauridae
Source: the annotation of a GenBank genome assembly
ACCACCAGAACACAAGGAUGAAUAUCCAUGGCGCUGUACAUAGUAUCAUGAGGGUUCUCCAAGUUCGGACAAAAUAUGCCAUCAAUCCCAAGAGCAAUAACACACAGGUAAAUGCGAACCACAUGAUUAUCUGCGACAGAGGCCGAUAUCGUGGGCCAACAAACUCUCCCGACAUGACAAACACAGGAAGGAAUAUACCGUAUAUCACAGCUCCAAUAAAAAACCUGGACACUAGAAAUUGCCAGUAUUUCGUAGCAAAUGCAGAAGCGAAGCCUACAAUGAUUAUAAAAAGCAGGCUCGGGUAGAUCGUUACUAAGCGACCGAAGCGAUCUGAGAUCAUACCAAGUGGGAGAGAAGCGACUGUCGUUCCGAUAUACACCAUGGAUUUAGCAAGCCAGCCGUAGAUAGCAUCGUCACACACUAGGUCAAACU